GGAGGUACUGUGGCUCAGUGGUAGGACAUCUGCUUGGCAUGCUAGAGGUUCCAGGUUCAAUCCUUGGCAUCUCCA
Molecule: transfer RNA, 75 nt
Filed under: Sphaerodactylus townsendi
Lineage: Eukaryota; Metazoa; Chordata; Lepidosauria; Squamata; Sphaerodactylidae
Description: tRNA-Ala
Source: RNAcentral